GACACAUCUCUGGGACUGCAUGCAGUACAGGACUACCUGUGGUCCAACAAUUCUACAACCAAGCUUUUUGAGAUGAUUGAAAACAACACCUGUAAAAGGAUCACAGAUGUAAAGGGAUUUAUCAUUUUCUUUUAUAUUGAGUGCUGCUUCUUCUUCAAGAAUCUGGAGAUGUUCUUCUGACUGAAAUUCUUUUAUAGACUCCAAAGCUUUCAAGAAAUACUCCGAGCUCCCAGAAGAUUUUACGAAUUUCACCAAGAACACCUCCUUGCUGCCUUUCAUCCUUUAACAACCGCAGCACCGCUGCGUGCCCGGCGCUGCCGGUGGAACGCUGCACGGUCCCCUACACCAAGCCCACCCCUCACGCAGCACCC
Molecule: long non-coding RNA, 371 nt
Filed under: Gallus gallus (chicken)
Lineage: Eukaryota; Metazoa; Chordata; Aves; Galliformes; Phasianidae
Source: RNAcentral